CCUGAUAAGCAGAAUCGGUGCUGCCAUCAAGCGAUGGUGAUUGCUGUAAUUCCUUCAACGUGAAGGCGUUCUGGACGCGGGUUCGACUCCCGCCACCUCCACCCGAGGGCGUUUGUCGGUGAAGCGUUCUGGGGUGGGGGUGCCUUGGGUUCGACAGGGCGAGCUAGCGAAGACGGCAGCAGGAGAGGUGCCCGACCUAAUCGGCACAACACCGUAACUGGCAAAAACGACGCCUUUUACUACGAAGCGGCCUAAAUCCCCGCGUCCGAGUUGCCGCCCCGCCACGCGAGUGGUGCUUGGGAACAGAAAGGGCGGCCGAUUGA
RNAcentral lists this transfer-messenger RNA (323 nucleotides) under Pandoraea oxalativorans. It matches the Rfam family "Betaproteobacteria transfer-messenger RNA". From Rfam's summary of the family: Bacterial tmRNA, also known as 10Sa RNA or SsrA, is named for its dual tRNA and mRNA-like properties. Its role is to liberate the mRNA from a stalled ribosome. To accomplish this part of the tmRNA is used as a reading frame that ends in a translation stop signal. The record is from RNAcentral. Lineage: Bacteria; Pseudomonadati; Pseudomonadota; Betaproteobacteria; Burkholderiales; Burkholderiaceae.